AUCCGACGGAUGGUCUUAUUUGCGUUGUAAGCCAUCCAAUAUUACAAUGAGACAACUCUCAAGCACGAAUCAACUACUUCUCAAAGAAAAACCAUCCAAGCAAAUGUUACAUCUUGCAUAUGCAUCACAAUAUUACACUCACAUCACAAUAGUCACACCUUCCGUCUUGGGUCCGUGCAGCAGAAGCACAGGAGUUGAUGUUGUACUCCACGCAUAUAACAAGGUCCUCGUUCUUUCUCUCAUCGUACAAUGCCGUCGAGGCGUUGGCAUCGGCCAACAGCUGAUGAGGACGACCUGCAUGCGGAUCGGAAUUGAAUCUCUUUCAGUGCUAGCUCAUCAAACAUCAGUACUCACUUUCACAAAUUAUUCCAAGUUAAUACUAAAAUACAUGAAUCAUACAGUAAACAAAUAGCUAGCUGAUCUGAGCGAGUAUGUCUACUUACAGUGUGCUUGCAUUGCUAGGGUUCCAGAAAGCACUGAUGCGCCUCAUGCUGGAUCGAUACGAUCUUUUCUGCAGCAGCUGAACUGUACGUAUCGAUGGUAGUCGCAGGAAGUGGGCAAUGAGGAGGCCGGGAGGAUCAGGAAUUCAGGAUGGACGACUUGAGCAAGGAGGAGGAUGACUGCUACUGGACGAGGGAUUAUUCAUUCCUUGAUCGCCCUUGGCUAGCUUAAUUAUAUAGAGGUACGCGUACGUAGAACAUGCCUGCAGGGCAGUGAUUGAUUAGGGUUAUAUCGAUGAGCUCGAUCCUGACAGCUAUUGGCAAUUGAUUUGUUUGGAUUGCUUUCCAAUGCAAUUUCCGUUGCAUGCAGCAAAUCAAUAGGCUACUAAUUGAUAGGAGUAACUGCUGAAAUUAGCACUGGAUCCAAACGCCCUACAGUACUAGUAAGCUAAUAGCCCAAAUAUUUUCCCAACGAAAAGGCCAUUAGCUACAGUAGCAGGUAACAAUUAGCAUCGAUUGGGCCUUCUGGGCCGGAACACGGGGGCAGUGAGGGGGUAGGGCGGCAGGCCGAUUGGGCCCGGGAGCGGAGGGGAAAGGGCACAGCAGAUUGGGUCCAAAACCGAUUCUACAAAUUGAUUUAGCAUUUGCCUUUUAGAUCCUACAAAUUCAAACUUGAGUGCCUAGUCGUCGCCCAGACUCGCUUGACCGGGUGACGACUGACAACGGUGGUGCCGUGCAGGAGGUAGCCAAUGCAGAUUGCAAUGAGGAGCGGCCGGGAGGGAGGCGCCCGCCAGGCCAGAACGCCGAUAGGCCAUGAGCGACGGCAUCAACGUCAUCGGAUUGAAUGAUUGAUCCUCUCAGCACGUACGCCAUCAACUCCAGGCCGGGCGGUCACGGGAUAGAUAGAUAGCGCAGGCUAGGGCGGCGUGGGCUCCGCUCAUGGCUAGCGGACGCCGCCGCCGCCGCCCACGUCGCUUCAGGUCACUUGAGGAGACCACUGACACCAGCAGGUUUUGGUCUCUGUUCGAGCGCAGCAGCAGCCACCACUGCCAAAGGCAGAAGCGUUGACAAGCUCGCUCAGCCCAGGACGAUGGUCGCAGAUUAGUUUCUUCCCUUAAUCAAGACAAGGAUUGCUUGCAUUCAUAAUGAGCUGCAUGCCAUGAUUAAUCAGUAUGUGCGGAGGUGGUUCAAGCGGCCAACCCAAAGGCCGGCCUUGGCUGGUUGCCUGGUUGGUACAAGUAUUUCCUGAUGGAGAAAACAAGCCGUCACCCUCAGCUUUUCCAGUCUCCGUCUCUUUCCCCUCUUUUUUUUCUUCUCUCUCGAAAGUGGCGUGGAGUACCGUAUUCGUUACUGCAAUCAGAGGGCCGCGAACAAGACGAAAAGCAGAGGGUUUUCCAACUCUGCUUGUAGGCCGGCCGACCCGGUUGUGGUUUUUUCUAAAUCUGCAAAGCUGCUUUCUAAAGGUUUUUUCUACUUACUGCGUGUAGGAGGAUCGCAGUCCCAGCAACGCGACGCUUCUGGUGCAAGUUCUCGCCGUUAGCUAUUAGCUAGCAGCUUCUGCAACUUGGGAACUUGGCUGGGACCAUGCAUACCCAAGCUUCGGCCAUGCGGUGUCCCGGUGAUUGGCUCCAGCAUGUGGUCGUCGGAGCUGAUGACAAGUGCGCUUGACCGCCCUGGAUUGGAUCCAGAGACGAGGGAGGACGAGGAGCAGACGAGACGACCAACAUGUGACUCACCAUUGCACCUGCAUGUUUCUCUGAAACCAGAUCUCCUCGGUCUGGCCUCCUGUGCUGCACCCUCCCAAUCUAGCCCUAUACUAUAAACUAUAAAGCCGACCCGAUCCUCUUGCCCACCUGCAUUGCAUCCGUUUCUUUUCCUGCUCGAGAUGGAUGCUGUUCAAGAGCAUUUUUUUAGAACCCUUUCCAUCAGCUGACGAUUGCAUGCUCAAGUAGUAGCAGGAGCGUGAAAAAGGGCGGGAACAGUGAGAGACAGAAAGCCGAGCUCUUUCCAAUGCUAAAGCAGAGAGAUCUCUUCAUUCGUUCUUCGCCCCUGACCCUGAAAGAAAGAAAGAAUCUCCACACGCACACCCUUUUGCCGGCCACAAAAGGCAAGGAAUGAACAACUGGUAGUGCCCAGCUGCCGAAUAACUUGUGCAAGGGUAUAACACUAACAUUCUGCCCCGCCCUGCACGCCCGGUUAUCAUCUCCCAUCUUAUACCAUUCCAUUUCGACACCAUUUUUUUCUCCCUUCCCCAUUGGACGUCGACAGGUCCCGGAGGCAAAGAAUCUCGAGAGGAUUGAUUGCCGCAUCAAAUCAGUGCACAGAUCUUCUCCUCCUCCUGGGCCCUAACUCCAACUAAGAUAGACCGGCCAGGAGGAGAAGAUACUACACGAGCGAGCGAGAGAGCUCGCAAAUAGGAGUGCAUCGUCGUGCCAAGCCGCCUCCUUGUCUUGCUCGCACAAGCGUCCCUGUCGGGAGUCCAGAUUGGCUCCUCGCCGGAAUCGCGUGCGGCCGCACGGAACGGACCUGCAGUAAAGCUAGCGCCGCGCCGAACCCAAUCAAUCAUACCUCCGCUCGUCAGGCGGUUGCCGCCGCCGUACUCGUCAUGAAGAACCAGCCGGCGCCACCGCCAGAUGCUCCAGGAGACGCCGCCGCCGGCGGGCGCGGGGCAGGAGGAGCGCAUGAGCCGCCGGGCGCCAAACCCACCGCGCCUCUGCCAAGGUUCGUUUCGUUUGGUUCCGGUCACUCCAUACGGUUCGGUUCGGUUCGUUCAGCCAGGGCCCAUGCACGCACGGAUGCUGCACCGAAAGGAAAGCAAUCAAACCAAUCCAUGAAUGGUCAGUGAAUCCGAUCCCAGGUUGUUACUCCCAGCCAACUGUACGUCCUGCUAUGCGCUAUCUCCUGGACCUACGGUCCUACGCGUGCAGGCAGGCAGGCAGCAUCCGGAUCCAGCCAGCCAAGGCAUCCAUGGCGCAGGGGCAGUGGCCGCCCACCAUUAAAGAAGCAGCAGAGAGAGAAACCGCAUGACGCUACUACAUAUACCGCUCCUGCCUCUCCCUCGCACCUCUCGCUUGCUCGCUCCCCCCUCCCCCGGCCCGUUUCCCCUCGCGCCUACCGGCCGGCGGCGCUCACCCAAGUCCGUGUGGUCUGUUUUGCAAGGAGAGCAGGGCGGGGAUGAUGAGGCAGCGGCCGGCCGCGCUGUGGGCGGGCGCCCUGGUGGCGGUGCUGGCGCUGCUUGCGGCGUGCACGGCGGCGGCGGCGGUGACCAUCACGCGUCGGCAGCACCAGCGCGGCGCGUCGGCGGCAUCGGCGCGGUCGUCGUGCGACGCGUUCGCGGCGGGGCGGUGGGUGGCGGACGCGUCGUACCCGCUGUACGACUCGUCGCGGUGCCCCUUCAUCCGCGACGAGUUCGCGUGCGCCCGCUUCGGCCGCCCCGACACCGCGUACCUCAAGUACCGGUGGCAGCCCGACCCGCCGUGCGCGCAGCCCAGGUAAUGCGUGUUCUUCUUCUGAUCUUCUUGCUCUUCCCGAUCGGAAUUCGCACGCCCUGGCGAAUGAGUGCGAUGCGAGACGUGUUUUACGUUGGAAAGAGAUUGUGACUGCGACUGCUCACCGCUGGUGUGGAUUUUGAAUGGGUGAACUGAAGGUUC
Molecule: long non-coding RNA, 4090 nt
Filed under: Panicum hallii
Lineage: Eukaryota; Viridiplantae; Streptophyta; Magnoliopsida; Poales; Poaceae
Description: long non-coding RNA (PHAL_LNC000597)
Source: RNAcentral